UAGCUGCAUUAUUGUACGUUAGCGACAGAAGAAGACACCGGACGUAACUACCGUCGCCAGCAGCCGCGGUAAGUACGGAGGGUGCGAGACGUUAGUACGGUAAUUACGUGGACGUAAAGCGCAUGCAGGUGGUUGUUAAGUCAGAUGUGAAGGACCCGGGGCGUCAACCUACCGGUAAGUUGCUAUUUAGUAAACGUAGGCAGACUAGAGUACUGUAGAGGGGGGUAGGAAUUUCAGGUGUAGCGGUGAAAAUGCGUAGAGAUCUGAAGGAAUACCGGUGGCGAAGGCGGCCCCCUCGGACAGAUACUGACACUCAGAUGCGAAAGCGUGGGGAGCAAACAGGAUUAGAUACCCUGGUAG
Molecule: ribosomal RNA, 360 nt
Filed under: uncultured bacterium
Lineage: Bacteria
Description: bacterial SSU rRNA
Rfam family: Bacterial small subunit ribosomal RNA
Source: RNAcentral